GGACUUCAUAAACAAAACAGUCGGGGCCGGGGAAUGCCAAAAUCGAGAAAAAUCUCCAUCUUUGAAGUCGCCCUUUUAUCUCGCACACAGGACCCAGACCCAGUGGAAACUUUUAAGUGGAUCAGACUCAAAGGGCCCGGUUCCAAUUUAUCCGCCUGCGCCCUCGCCGGCUCACGACAGGAACCCAGAUUUGGCUACUGUAAGGGCAACAACAUCGACCGUCCUUCUCAAGGCCGACUGGGAAAGCUAGUUUCCCAUUGUCCUUUUCCAACCUCUCGGAGAAGGGGCUUCCCAUCUCCCCACUCCCCAUACGAACCCAGGCUCCCGAUGAUCACCAAGGGGCCUCGAACCUUCCCGUCCUUGACCGUCUUGAAAUGAACUCGGCCAGAAGAUCGGCCGAUGGCAAUUCCCACCUGCCCCCUCUCCCUUCAACUCCCCGUUGGAAGCGACGCUGGCUCCUGGUCACUGACCCAGUCUCCGCUAGCCAGAGGGAUGCCGACGUGAUCCGCUCCACGAUGACACAAACAGGAAUCGAUUCAUUACAUUCAGAGACCCAACGGGCAGAGCACUGGAUCCAGCAAUGGCCCGGAGCCGUUUCCUCGUACACGUCGUCUGAAAACCUUGAGUGCUUCCUUCCUCUCCGCGCUUGCUUUUCUUCUGCGCGGGACAUCAGAUAGCUGUUCUUUUCCACUGGCUGAUGCGUGAUUAAGAAUUUAUGGCACGAGUUGGGAA
Molecule: long non-coding RNA, 732 nt
Organism: Ornithorhynchus anatinus (platypus)
Lineage: Eukaryota; Metazoa; Chordata; Mammalia; Monotremata; Ornithorhynchidae
Exons: 2
Source: RefSeq, a predicted model, not a curated record